GCGGAAGUGUUGGAAUUGGCAGACAAGCAAGACUAAGGAUCUUGUGGGCGCAAGCUCGUGUGGGUUCGAGUCCCAUCUUCCGCA
This 84-nucleotide transfer RNA is filed under the name Enterococcus diestrammenae. RNAcentral describes it as "tRNA-Leu". It matches the Rfam family "tRNA". Rfam says of the family: Transfer RNA (tRNA) molecules are approximately 80 nucleotides in length. RNAcentral also lists the same sequence under 4 other names. The record is from RNAcentral. Lineage: Bacteria; Bacillati; Bacillota; Bacilli; Lactobacillales; Enterococcaceae.